Long non-coding RNA from Ostrea edulis (European flat oyster), 791 nucleotides. RefSeq lists it as uncharacterized. Lineage: Eukaryota; Metazoa; Mollusca; Bivalvia; Ostreida; Ostreidae. The record is from RefSeq and is a predicted model, not a curated record. The transcript is spliced from 2 exons.
AGAAAAAUACUAUGAUUGUUGUCUGUAUUGAAUCUCUCUCUUUAUUGAUUUGGGAUGUUAAUGGUAAACGAACACAUAAGGUUUACGGCAGCUAAGAAAAAUGAAGGCCCGUCACCAUCAACUUCCUAUAUGUAUAUAGAAAUAUCGCACUAUCACUUGGGUAUGGUAUCUACGUUCCUCAAAUGUUUCGAAAAACAAGCGCAUUAGUGUUUGGCUAAUUUUGGUUUGUAAUUCCGCAUUGACUGAAAACAAUUUACCAACUUAAAGUUUAAAUAUAUGCACGGGUGGCAACACCUUAUAAUCAAAUUUGCCCUAUAACGUGAACCAAUGUUGAAAAGUGACUGUCGCAUUAAAUUCUCCUUUUUGGAACCUCUUUUUACUGUGCCCUAAUUGGAACCUAACUUGAUUGGACUUUAAACCACCAACCCGUGCGGAAUUCAGUUUGGACACGGCAGUCUAGUAGGAUUGACGUUUUCAUACUUCUCUGCAUAUCAGUUUAUAUUGAUCAACAAACCUUUUCCGAUUCUAUGCAUGGCGUAUACAUGAUACAGCAUAUGAUCAAGUUUUUCUGAGGUCCUCUCCCUGUGGUCUACUACAGUUACCUUCAUAUAACCAGUGUAUGCAGGAUGUGAAGAGUAAUCGUAUAGUACAAGGACAACCAAACUCCAGGAGUGGGUAUCUCCAUCAAACCCACAAAUGUCUUCGCUAAUGAGCCAAUAUCAUAGACACUUGUGGAAUUAGGAUAAUGUUCUUUAUGAGAUAUUGUACAUAAUAAACUCUUUAUAUCUACA